AAUUUAGUGAGAGAGAUUCCAUGGUUCACCACCCAGAACAAGGUGCUUUCUUCCAUCUCAUAUGCCAAAAAAGCACUGAAAAUCCAGAGCACCAUUACUGAUUGGAAGACCAAAGGCUUGAUCUAGAAAUCACACACCAGCAUCUGCCCAUCCCAUGAUGACUUCUCCCCUGCAAAGCCAACUGCCUUCUCUCCUUACCAGCCUCCCCACCAAUGAAGUGGGCCGGGGUAGGGGACCAUUGUGUUGCUGUGACCCGUGCCUCCACCUAUGCCUAACCUCUGCCACAGCUGAAUGAACAGGACUAGCACUAGAUUCAAGCAUGAUCUCAGGAAAUGAUAGGAUGGAUUACAAACCCCCAUCGGCACUAAGGAUUCCUAGCCAAUCAUCCGGGACUAUUGCUUCAGCAAAGAGAGAGUCUUUGAGCAAAGGCCUGCCUUCACCAUUCUCCCGAGCAGCAGCACAUCUCUUCAGAAAUCUCAAUCUAAUGGGGGAAAGAAGGCUUCUCCCACGCCUGACGUCUUCAAAGAUGGCAACUAGGAAUCCAGAUUAUAUGCAGAACUUCUCUUCCUCCAGGAUGGGUACAGUGGAGCAAAGUUAUAGAUGGACCAGAAAGGCAGCUCAGGAUGGAGAAUAAAGUUUCAGGAAAUUCAGCAAAGUGAGCCCACUGGGAAUUUUUUAAAAUUCUAGGCCAAUGAUUGGAUAGGAAUACAGUCAGUGUUCCCAGUGUGAAGACUUUCCCUUCUGGCUAUUGAUCUUGCAGCAAUCAGACAGCUGUUUGCAGGGGAAUGAUCACUCUUUUCCUUUACAUAAUAUUCAUAAAUGUGCAGGCAAAUUAAAUGUGUCAUAGAUGAGAUUACCAACCAGAGUACCACCCGGCUGUCUCAUGUGAGCUUGGUUUAUGGAUCCAGUGUUCUCCAGCGAGCAUCACAAAUCCACAUAAUGUUCCCAAGUGCUAAAUUUGGAGCUCUGAUUUAGCUGACAGAUGUUUAAAAUCACAUUUAGUUGGACAACUCCCUGAGGAGGACACAGCUGCAGAUGUGAAAGAGAGCAAGUUAUUCCAGUUAAGGUCGGCGGGAACUCAGCCUGAAAACCUUCCGUCUCGAUCCGCCUUCUUCAGACAGGAUGAUAUGGGUGAAGGAACAUUUUCAUGCUGAUUCCACCCACCUUUGGCCAAACCUCAUCCCUUUGUUGAAUGGUUGCCAAGAUAAAUGCAGAAGUUGCAUCUUAGGCAAAGUGUGGGCUGCUCCAGUCAGCUGAAAUUGAGUAAAAGGGUGCUGCUAGCCCUUUAAAAACAGGCACAAAGCCACAUUUUGGAGCCUGCUUUGCCCCUGUGGUGGCAUCUGAGGCCUGCAAAUGAGUAUGAUUCUGGAAUUUUGCACUUCAGGAUCAGUUAUUCAGAUGGAUAGUUGAAGUCCAUGUGCUGAAUGAGGACAGAGAGGAAAAUGGUGCCAUUUACCCUCCCCCCACCCCAACAUCCCAAACAGCUCUCCUUCAUUUUUUAAAAACAACAAAAUUAAAAUUAUCCUGGAAUCUUCUUUGCAAAAAUCACAUAUUUUAGACUUGUUUCAAGACUCAGACUGAAACGAAUUUGUUUAAAAAAAAUUGUCUGUAUUUGAUGUGGGAGACUAGUG
Long non-coding RNA from Equus caballus (horse), 1631 nucleotides. NCBI's taxonomy places the organism in Eukaryota, Metazoa, Chordata, Mammalia, Perissodactyla, Equidae. The record is from Ensembl.